CCCAUCUCCUCCCCCUUGCAAUGAGAUAAUGAAUCGUAAUACCUAUCUAUCCAGUCCUGGGAAUCACGAAGACUAAUAGAGCAUCCCUUGGCUGAAGAGGGCACUAGGACCCUCCAGACUCCUGGAAGCAGCGGGCUUGGCAAGGAGUCAGUGACACUGAACUCACUGCGCUGUUACACAAGGCAGAGAGGAGUGGUGGAGGCAGCAGCCACAGCAGCGGCGGCGGCGGCGGCGGCGGUGGCGGCGGUGGCAGCAGCAGCAGCAGCAGCAAAGGCAGAAGCAUCUGUGUGUCCUCUGUCACUGCCAAUGGAAAGCUGACGGAAGCAACAGUGUCAUAAAGAGAUGGGCUAGUUCUCCCCCAGCUGCUGAAAUCGGGAGACAUUUGGAGCUGAUCCACACCCAGCCCAUCAGCCCAGAAGCAGCAGACAGAUACAGCAAAGGAAUGAUAGAGCAUGGAGAACACAAAAGACCACUCUGAAGAUCCAAACCAUGAGACCCAUGAUUUGGAUUCAAGCCAAAAGAACAGUUCACAUGGCAUAGCAAUCCAUGGAGGUGGCAAGCCUCCAUAAGACUGAUCAAUCUUAACUAAGCCACUUCUCAAAAAAUAUUUACCCAAUUUUGUGUUACUAAGUGGCUGCCUCACCCGUUAUAUUAACCCCAGACCAAAUAGUACUAUUGUUGUUGCUCAGCUACCUUAAAAAAGGUAACAUAAUGAUGUACAGCCUUGUAUUCUAAUAUUAUGUAUAAUUAUUUCUGUUAAAUAUUUAUACAUAUAUUUAUACAUAUAAUAUAUGCAUAUAUUAUAUAUAUAAUAAAAAAAUUAAAUGUAAGUUUCA
Molecule: long non-coding RNA, 836 nt
Filed under: Monodelphis domestica (gray short-tailed opossum)
Lineage: Eukaryota; Metazoa; Chordata; Mammalia; Didelphimorphia; Didelphidae
Description: lncRNA (ENSMODG00000040768.1)
Source: RNAcentral